This is a long non-coding RNA of Sinocyclocheilus grahami, 95 nucleotides long. RefSeq lists it as uncharacterized. NCBI's taxonomy places the organism in Eukaryota, Metazoa, Chordata, Actinopteri, Cypriniformes, Cyprinidae. The transcript is spliced from 3 exons. The record is from RefSeq and is a predicted model, not a curated record.
GGUUCAGUAGACUGUUUGCUCUAAAUGAAUGGUUAUUGUCAUGGUGUAAAUAACAUAAACUGCUCUUUGCAAAUAACUGGAAUCUUUUCAGGGAG